Molecule: long non-coding RNA, 723 nt
Organism: Cucurbita moschata (crookneck pumpkin)
Lineage: Eukaryota; Viridiplantae; Streptophyta; Magnoliopsida; Cucurbitales; Cucurbitaceae
Exons: 3
Source: RefSeq, a predicted model, not a curated record
GCCGCGACACGAUCGCCCCCUAAUCUUCCCUUCACCACCGGUAGGAUUCUCUAGUUCGACCGAGUAGGGCUGUAAAUUUUAAACCCUCGAUUUAGGGUUUGUCUUGUUCAUUCUUCAAUCUCUUCAUCUAUCUUUCUCGGGUGAAAAUGGCGAACGAGCAACAGUCAUCUACAGGGCCCUGGAUCCUCGAAGCAAUGCCUUUCAUCGUUGUUCUUCUCAUAGCAGCUCAUGUCUUUGCUUUGGUAUAUUGGAUUUAUAAGUUGGCAGCCCAAAAACAACCUCCGAGGAGGAAGGCACACUGAGUUACUGUAUGAUUCGUUCCUGAAAGAAACUUCAGCGAAACCGAAUUCGUUAAUUAUUGCGUAUCUAAUGUUGAGGAGGCGGUCACAAAAGCCAUGUAACGAUGUUUCUCUCUCAGGCAAAUCCCAGGACUUGUAGCAUCAAUAGAUGCUUUCUUCAUGUUAGUCUUGUCCGGUUGGCGAUUGUCGAUUGCUAUUGACCCACUAUCGAUUUACAGGUAUAUUACUGUGGUAAUUUUUUUUGUUCUUCAUUAGCCAUCUGAAUUCAAAGCACUUGAUAAGAUAUUCCUGUAGUAUAAGUAAGCCUAUGCCAUGUUCUUUUUCAUUUCUUCAAUGUUUUCCUUACUUGAUUCGAUCUUAGGAAUAUAGAUGUCGGACUCCAACAAUCUUACUCUCGAAUAAAGUACCAUUGAGUCUCUCCUUA